CCCUUAGAUGUUCUGGGCCGCACGCGUGCUACACUGAGUGGAUCAGCGGGUCAGGUUGCGCGAAAGCGUUUCCUAAUCUUUAAAUCCGCUCGUGAUGGGGAUUGACGGUUGCAAUUUUCUGUCAUGAACGAGGAAUACCUUGUAAGCGCGGGUCAUCAUCCCGCGCUGAAUACGUCCCUGCCCUUUGUACACACCGCCCGUCGCUCCUACCGAUUGAGUGGUCCGGUGAGGCUUUGGGAUCUGAGCGGAAAGAGCGUUUCGCAGUUUCUGCUCGGAAAACUCAGUCGAACCUUAUCAUUUAGAGGAAGGAGAAGUCGUAACA
RNAcentral lists this ribosomal RNA (322 nucleotides) under uncultured eukaryote. RNAcentral's name for it is "partial 18S ribosomal RNA". It matches the Rfam family "Eukaryotic small subunit ribosomal RNA", at positions 1470 to 1796 of the family's 1831-position model. The record is from RNAcentral.